CAACGGUCACUUGUUACAGUCCCAUGAUCAGUGAAUCCUGGGAUUGAGGCCUGAAGGUUAAAUUUCCAUGAUCUGUGAGUGUUGGGAUCGAGGCCUAAAGGUUAAAGUCAUGUGAUCGCAUACCAAAAGCUCCUGCUGGUUUUACCUGCCUCCAGAUGAGUUAGCCUGAGCAACACUUUGGAACUUGUCCGUUGCGUUUGACAUGCUGGUAGAACUGCUUUUAAGUCGGCAUGAUUGAAGUCACCAGCAUCAAGGAAGGCACCAACUGG
Molecule: long non-coding RNA, 269 nt
Organism: Mobula hypostoma (lesser devil ray)
Lineage: Eukaryota; Metazoa; Chordata; Chondrichthyes; Myliobatiformes; Myliobatidae
Exons: 3
Source: RefSeq, a predicted model, not a curated record